AACCCAUGGUGUGGGCACCUUCGCAAUAGACCUUGUAUCUCUCCCAUGCAUCAUAAACUGUUUCUCAGUCAAUCUGCACAAAAGAAGAAAUAUCAUUACGUAACUU
This is a non-coding RNA of Gossypium hirsutum (cotton), 106 nucleotides long. The record is from Rfam. NCBI's taxonomy places the organism in Eukaryota, Viridiplantae, Streptophyta, Magnoliopsida, Malvales, Malvaceae.